AACGCUAGCUACAGGCUUAACACAUGCAAGUCGAGGGGCAGCAUGGUCUUAGCUUGCUAAGGCCGAUGGCGACCGGCGCACGGGUGAGUAACACGUAUCCAACCUGCCGUCUACUCUUGGACAGCCUUCUGAAAGGAAGAUUAAUACAAGAUGGCAUCAUGAGUCCGCAUGUUCACAUGAUUAAAGGUAUUCCGGUAGACGAUGGGGAUGCGUUCCAUUAGAUAGUAGGCGGGGUAACGGCCCACCUAGUCUUCGAUGGAUAGGGGUUCUGAGAGGAAGGUCCCCCACAUUGGAACUGAGACACGGUCCAAACUCCUACGGGAGGCAGCAGUGAGGAAUAUUGGUCAAUGGGCGAGAGCCUGAACCAGCCAAGUAGCGUGAAGGAUGACUGCCCUAUGGGUUGUAAACUUCUUUUAUAAAGGAAUAAAGUCGGGUAUGGAUACCCGUUUGCAUGUACUUUAUGUAUAAGGAUCGGCUAACUCCGUGCCAGCAGCCGCGGUAAUACGGAGGAUCCGAGCGUUAUCCGGAUUUAUUGGGUUUAAGGGGAGCGUAGAUGGAUGUUUAAGUCAGUUGUGAAAGUUUGCGGCUCAACCGUAAAAUUGCAGUUGAUACUGGAUAUCUUGAGUGCAGUUGAGGCAGGCGGAAUUCGUGGUGUAGCGGUGAAAUGCUUAGAUAUCACGAAGAACUCCGAUUG
This 694-nucleotide ribosomal RNA is filed under the name uncultured bacterium. Its description in RNAcentral is "bacterial SSU rRNA". It matches the Rfam family "Bacterial small subunit ribosomal RNA", at positions 32 to 715 of the family's 1533-position model. The record is from RNAcentral.